UAAUCUUAACGUAAAGAGGGAGCCUUGCGCUAACAAAGCUUCCCUUGUAGAAACCGUUAAAGACGGCAGCAGUUAAAUAAGUUAUAAAAAA
Molecule: small RNA, 91 nt
Filed under: Pisciglobus halotolerans
Lineage: Bacteria; Bacillati; Bacillota; Bacilli; Lactobacillales; Carnobacteriaceae
Description: Carnobacteriaceae bacterium C01 RNA anti-toxin A
Rfam family: RNA anti-toxin A
Source: Rfam by way of RNAcentral